This 84-nucleotide ribosomal RNA is filed under the name uncultured Chlorophyta. Its description in RNAcentral is "partial 16S ribosomal RNA". It matches the Rfam family "Bacterial small subunit ribosomal RNA", at positions 376 to 459 of the family's 1533-position model. Lineage: Eukaryota; Viridiplantae; Chlorophyta. The record is from RNAcentral. RNAcentral also lists the same sequence under 1 other name.
CGAAAGCCUGACGGAGCAAUGCCGCGUGGAGGAUGAAGGCCCGUGGGUCGUAAACUCCUUUUCUCAGAGAAGAAGCUCUGACGG